GGGCUGGCCCAGAUGGCUCUUGGAAGUUGUCCUGAGAGGCUGUGCUUGGAAGGCUGCACUGUGUCGUCUACUGAGAGCCCUGGUGCUGGUCCCCCAGCCAGUGACUCCGGUGCCAAGCACAGCCUGUGGGCCCUUUGGCUGCUGCAGUAUCUGCUCCUCAGAUACUUGGACGAACUCAGUGCUCCACAGAGACCCAAAAGAGAGCUGCUUCCUGGAGCCCGACCAUCUUUCCAUUCAAUCUUCUCUGACUCUGGAGGCCUGAUACCCACGGCUCUGCCUAUUUCUGAGAUGAGUGAACCUGCUCUUCAAAAAGGAAAUGAAGAACCUUUUGUAUUCAUAAAGAAAAAGAGCUACUUUGGGUUCUGAAGAUGGAAAACAUGAAACACCACCAGGUUCCAGAUGCCAGCAUGAUGCCAACCAGACUUCUCUGGACAGACGACCCCACCAAUGUGUCCUGGAGCUCCGCUUCCCCAGAGCCCCACCCCACUAGAGAAAGAGAGAGGCAGGCUGGGGGUGUGGAUCCACCUGUCAACACCCAUGUUCAGCAGGGAAGCAAUGACAGAAGCCAGACCUUCCACCUUCUGUACCCCACAAUGACCUGGGGUUCAUAUUCCCAGAGGGUUAAAGAAUAGGAAAGCUGUCAGGGGAGGAGAUGGGAUACGGAGAUCUGGUGGUGGGAACUGUGUGGAGAUGUACCCCUCUUAUCCUAUGGUUUUGUUAAUGUCUCCUUUUUUCAAUAAAUAAAAAAAUAUAUAUAAAAAAA
This is a long non-coding RNA of Erinaceus europaeus (western European hedgehog), 763 nucleotides long. RefSeq lists it as uncharacterized. The transcript has 4 exons. NCBI's taxonomy places the organism in Eukaryota, Metazoa, Chordata, Mammalia, Eulipotyphla, Erinaceidae. The record is from RefSeq and is a predicted model, not a curated record.